AUGACACCUACGCUAAAGACAACUGGGCAGCGGUUGAUUGACAGGUGAGGGGUUGUGCUUCACUGCUGUCUGGGAUGGAUUCAGGAUGGAUUAGCGUUUCACACCUCAAAUGCGAUGUGAUCACACCUCAUAGUCAAUCUUGAAUUUCUGCACCAUUCCCAGCUCCAUAAACAUCCUCAGAGCUGCAGUGACCAUGGCGUCCACAUCCAGAGAGAAAUCAUCAAAUGAGAGUUUAUCAAUGCCCAGUUCACACACCAGAGGAAUGUUUGC
Long non-coding RNA from Myxocyprinus asiaticus (Chinese sucker), 270 nucleotides. RefSeq lists it as uncharacterized. The transcript is spliced from 3 exons. The record is from RefSeq and is a predicted model, not a curated record. Lineage: Eukaryota; Metazoa; Chordata; Actinopteri; Cypriniformes; Catostomidae.